Cyprinus carpio carpio is the source of this 1436-nucleotide long non-coding RNA. The record is from Ensembl. Lineage: Eukaryota; Metazoa; Chordata; Actinopteri; Cypriniformes; Cyprinidae.
GCUUGGCCUUAGACGAUAUUCAGUAUGAGGUAAUAAAUGGUGUAAAUUUAUACCAUUUUUAUUAAAGCAGAUCUAUGGGGUCAUAUAAAGAUCUUCCAGGCUUUUGUAUCCAUUUUCACCGUCUUCAAUAUGCGAAGAUAUGAAGUGUGCUGAAUGUCCAUUGUCUGGGAAUAUUACAUUUGGCAGAAUCAUAAACCAAAGUCACCAUUUUAUUCAAUUCCACUGUGCGAUAGAUAAAGAAAUGAUAUGUGCAACAUUGUCAUGACAACAAAAUGUGUUUACCAUGUUAAUUAUAGUAGAGCCUGGGGCUAGUUGUCACAAUCUCUAUUUAAUCACAGGAACUAAGGUUUCUAAAGUCCAAUUAUACAAAUGUGUGUUUACCUAAAUGAUCUGCAUGUUGGUUCUGUGAAUUCUAUCCACCAAGACACAUUUCUACUUUCAUCAUACUUUUAGAAUUGCUGUUUGGUUACACUUGAACACAAUAAAAUCACGCUGACACACAUUCUGACAUUCAAGAGUCACUAUAUAACAACAAUUUGAACUGAAAGGUUGAAACUGGUGUUUUCAGGACAAAAGCAUUGCUCACAAAUAUCAAGUCGAGGCAAGUUGUCACGUGCUUAACAUUUAUGCAAAUAUUUAUUAUGAUUUCUCAGAACAGUGGUUUAAUAUUUCCGUUCGUUAUCCUUCUGUUUUAAAGGGAUCAUCAGAUGCGAAAUUCACUUUUACAUGUUGUUUGAACUGAAAUGUGUCUUGGCAGUGUGUGUGCACAUCCACCCUAUAAUGAUAAAAAUGCAUUCAUAUUAAGCUGUUCUCAGAGUUGUGACACUGUCACAAAGGACUGUUUUAACCUGCUCAAUUUAUUAUAAUGAUUUUAUGUAUAUUUGAGUUUUAAUAGGUUUUCAUGUUGUCAUGGCCAUUUUAUUCCUCUUAAAGGAGUCCUAUUAUGCGUUUUUUAACUUUUUCAACUUUAUUUAGUCUGUAAUGUUGCUGUUUGAGCAUAAAACAGAUCUGCAAAGUUACAAAGCUCAAAGUCCAAUUCAAAAGGAGAUAUUUUAUUUAACAGAAAUCACUUUUCAAAAACCACAACGAACGACUCGUUUGGACUGCAACGCAUAUUUUCCGGGAUUUGUGAUAUCACAAAGAUCGACGAAUGGGACGAGACCUGGUUAAGCUGCACUAGAGAAGGCAACGAGUGUUAUCACUAUGUUGGAGACAAGCUAGCUUUCCCAAGGCAGACGAGCUUAGAGUGGUUACAAUCAUCCGGGUUUAAAUCGCGCUCAAACUGAUUUGACUUUGAUGCAAUAUUUACACUGAAGCUCACAGCAGCUGCCAAUCACAACACACACUGGCCCAGCUAACCAAUCACAAAACAGAUUGGAGCAGCUAACCAAUCACAGUGCAUUUCGGAUUUCAGAAGGCGGGCCUUCAUUUGAUGC